AAAUGAAUAGACGGGGGCCCGCACAAGCGGUGGAGCAUGUGGUUUAAUUCGAUGCAACGCGAAGAACCUUACCUACCUUUGAAUCCACGGAAUCUUGCAGAAAUGUAGGAGUGCCUUCGGGAACCGUGAGACAGGUGCUGCAUGGCUGUCGUCAGCUCGUGUCGUGAGAUGUUGGGUUAAGUCCCGUAACGAGCGCAACCCUUGUCCUUAGUUACCAGCGAGUUAUGUCGGGGACUUUAAGGAGACUGCCGGUGAUAAACCGGAGGAAGGUGGGGAUGACGUCAAGUCCUCAUGGCCCUUACAGGUAGGGCUACACACGUGCUACAAUGGUCGGUACAAAGGGUUGCCAACCCGCGAGGGGGAGCUAAUCUCAAAAAGCCGAUCGUAGUCCGGAUUGGAGUCUGCAACUCGACUCCAUGAAGCUGGAAUCGCUAGUAAUCGCGGAUCAGAACGCCGCGGUGAAUACGUUCCCGGGCCUUGUACACACCGCCCGU
This 494-nucleotide ribosomal RNA is filed under the name uncultured bacterium. Its description in RNAcentral is "bacterial SSU rRNA". It matches the Rfam family "Bacterial small subunit ribosomal RNA", at positions 903 to 1397 of the family's 1533-position model. The record is from RNAcentral.